Molecule: long non-coding RNA, 860 nt
Filed under: Anser brachyrhynchus (Pink-footed goose)
Lineage: Eukaryota; Metazoa; Chordata; Aves; Anseriformes; Anatidae
Description: lncRNA (ENSABRG00000013905.1)
Source: RNAcentral
CUUUCAACUCCUCUAUUUACUGGAACACAGACAAUGAUUCACUUGAUCACAACUAAAGGUCAGUUCAUAUUCUUAACAAUUCUCUGCAACUAAGCCAAAAAUCUGUUGAUUUUUAUCUCAUAUAAUGAAAAUACAACGUGAAGAUGCCGAGUGAGGGUGGAAUCAACAGCUUACAACCAGAAAAGCUAAGCUAAUGACAGAUCUGAAGAAGUGUCAACACUGCAACCAAAAAAGCUUGAAGCAGCAGGAAUGUCGUUCACAGGGGAGAUUGGAGUCAUAGCAAAUACACUUUUCAAGGUUGCUUACUCCUGACUAAAGGCAUGUAGUUUUCAGCAAGAAAAGCCAAAAUCUUGGCAGCGAUGCUCUCCAGAUGAGUCCCAUGCCUACUCUAAGCAGCAUCAGGUGAGCUACCUCCAGUCUCAGAGUCAAAAAAGUGAAAAAAAGGACAAAUCAACAUUAACUCCCUAUGGAGAUAAAACACCAACAAGAUGUUUUGGAAAAAAAUGAAGAUAUUAAAACACACAAUACAUUGUGGUAAACUUACCUAGAACAAGAAGUGUUCAAGCAUGUCCUCACUGCCCAGAUUUCUUUGGAAAAGAGCCUUAACCCUCACUUUGUACUAAGAAACUGAGAACAGCAGGAGCCCCAGUGUCUUCUCUCUGGGCCACAACUGCCUGAAAGCACGGUGAAUAUAUAGAUGGCUAUUUCAACGGUGAUUAACCCAUACAAAACCCACUCAAAGCAGAGAACUCUAAGUCUCUUUACUUGGCUGUGAUAGUAGCAGAGUGCUGAGAACCAAGCAGGAUCAUGUCCAUAGCUCAGUUCAAAAAAAUGUGCCAGAUUAAUAGGCAUAAUCAAGA